CCUACGGGUGGCAGCAGUGAGGAAUAUUGGUCAAUGGACGAGAGUCUGAACCAGCCAAGUAGCGUGAAGGAUGACUGCCCUAUGGGUUGUAAACUUCUGUUAUAAAGGAAUAAAACGAGGCACGUGUGCCUUUUUGCAUGUACUUUAUGAAUAAGGAUCGGCUAACUCCGUGCCAGCAGCCGCGGUAAUACGGAGGAUCCGAGCGUUAUCCGGAUUUCUUGGGUUUCAAGGGAGCGUAGAGGGGUUGUUACGUCAGUUGUGAAAGUUUGCGGCUCAACCGUAAAAUGGCAAUUGAUACUGGCAGUCUUGAGUACAGUUGCGGUCGGCGGACUUCGUUGUGUCGCCGUGA
RNAcentral lists this ribosomal RNA (349 nucleotides) under uncultured bacterium. RNAcentral's name for it is "partial 16S ribosomal RNA". It matches the Rfam family "Bacterial small subunit ribosomal RNA", at positions 338 to 684 of the family's 1533-position model. The record is from RNAcentral.